This 478-nucleotide ribosomal RNA is filed under the name uncultured bacterium. RNAcentral's name for it is "partial 16S ribosomal RNA". It matches the Rfam family "Bacterial small subunit ribosomal RNA", at positions 28 to 507 of the family's 1533-position model. The record is from RNAcentral.
GAUGAACGCUGGCGGCGUGCUUAACACAUGCAAGUCGAACGGGAAACCUUUUAUUGAAGCUUCGGCAGAUUUAGCUGGUUUCUAGUGGCGGACGGGUGAGUAACGCGUGGGUAACCUGCCUUAUACAGGGGGAUAACAACCAGAAAUGGUUGCUAAUACCGCAUAAGCGCACAGGACCGCAUGGUCCGGUGUGAAAAACUCCGGUGGUAUAAGAUGGACCCGCGUUGGAUUAGCUAGUUGGCAGGGUAACGGCCUACCAAGGCUACGAUCCAUAGCCGGCCUGAGAGGGUGAACGGCCACAUUGGGACUGAGACACGGCCCAGACUCCUACGGGAGGCAGCAGUGGGGAAUAUUGCACAAUGGGGGAAACCCUGAUGCAGCGACGCCGCGUGAAGGAAGAAGUAUCUCGGUAUGUAAACUUCUAUCAGCAGGGAAGAUAGUGACGGUACCUGACUAAGAAGCCCCGGCUAACUACGUG